GUGAUAUGGGAAUUAUCAUAUAUAGGUACAAGGUAUUCAUGUCCACGGAAGAACAGUUGUCAGUUUUGAUCUUUUUCACACGAUAUAUGUGACUACCUAAGUAGAUUACAAAAAAUAUAAUACAAAUAUAAUAAAAGAAGACCUGAAAAUGUUGGGAAUAAGGAAUGCUGAAGAAACGGCACAAGAUAGAGAAGAUUAGAGACAAUAUGUGGUUGCGGCAAUGGGCCUUGAAGGCCUGUAAAAAGCCAAAGAAGAAGAAGAAGAAGUCGCAACUGAUCGAGAAAGAAAAUCAGUCAAAAAUGUUUGACACGAUACUGCCUUUAAAUAGAUAUAGUAAAUCGAACACGAACUGUAUAUUAUGUCUCUUUAGUUUGAUUACAUUAAAUAAAUUAUACUAAUUAAAAAAUUAUACAGCAGUCAGCAACAAUAACAUACGACCAUAUCUGCAGUAAUAUUUAUCAAAAACAAUAUGCAUUUUUUAUAAACAAACAUUGAUGGCUGUCGGCGGCACUUACCUAUUACCCGCCAGGAAACUGUAAAGGAAUAAUAAAUAUGGUUUCGUCAAUAUUGCGAAUUGUAUUAACACUACAUAAACUUUUCAGUAUACUUAUUAAUAGGGAUUGUAAGCUUUAGGAGUUGUAUAUUUUUCUAUAUACCUAUACUCUCGAUUUAUAGCAAACCAAGCUACAAAUCCGAACUAUAGUAUAUACUAUGGUAAGUUUAAAAAUCAAAAAUUUAAGAUGUAUAUUUUAUAAAUUUUAAGGAAAAGUGUAUAUUUGAUAUUUUAUAAAAAAAAAAAUUGAUUUUUUUUCUUAAUCUAUAUGUAUUUUAAAUAAUAUUGAAUACAAAACAAACGUAUUUAUAACUAUUAUACUAAUCAAAUACAUAAUAAAAUAGAAAAAUAUUAUUUGUUAUCGGGCCAAGUUUAAAACAAACAGACACGGCAAUUUUAAAUGUUCACCCAGAGAAAUACACGAUAUAAAUUGCACUAUAUAUGGCACUCAGUUUAGCUAAUCCAUGCUUAUAUAUUUUGUAUACCAUACGAGUCUUCUCGUCCAACUUUUCGGAGUCAUUCAAUCACAAUAACUUUUUAAUUUUUAUUUUGCGAUAUUUAUGUUUUAAUAAAUUGUUGUGUAAUAUUCUGGCACGUUUGACUGAACAACGGAUAACGGGAUAAUGCAUAAAACAAACGAAGCACUCGUCAAAGGAUAUUGUACGACACACACACACAUUGAGCAUGUAUUACACAUAAUAUAUAAUACGUAUGUGAGGAAGUUUUCAAUCCAUUUUCAUCACCAUUCACCGGCAUAUUACACGCGAGUUUUUUUAAAAUUGUAUUCUUAAUAACAGAAAAAAGACGUGCAUUUCAAUUGAGUGACUGCAGAGUGUAGUGUUUUGGAAUAGUAUAUGCAUUUUUCUGAAUACAAUUGAAAAUUGUUUUGAUAUUUCAAACACAUACACCU
Molecule: long non-coding RNA, 1463 nt
Organism: Rhopalosiphum padi (bird cherry-oat aphid)
Lineage: Eukaryota; Metazoa; Arthropoda; Insecta; Hemiptera; Aphididae
Exons: 4
Source: RefSeq, a predicted model, not a curated record